CUCACUCUGCUUCACUUCCUACACUCUUUUGGGUCUUGGUUCUGCCUGAAGUCAGAUUCCUGUAAGGUGCCAGAAUGUCGUACCAGGAGCAACAGUGCAAGCAGACGUGCCUGCCACCACCUGUUCAGUGCAAAAAGAGCUGCCCCCCUCAGCAGGAAAUCUGCCCUCCGCUGCAGCAGGUCUGCCCCCCGCCGCAGCAGGUCUGCCCCCCGCCACAGCAGGUCUGCCCCCCGCCACAGCAGGUCUGCCCACCACAAGACCCCCAGGAUCCAAAGUGCUGCUGAUGAAGCACUGAAAGAAAUAGCCAAAGCAAAAUACGGACAGCAAGAAAGGAGAUGGAAGCUCAAAACCAUGGACAUGGUGCCUCUUCAUUUAUUUCUAUGCUUGCGUAGACUCAGUUAUAACAAUAUCAUGUUACUCCAGCAUUUCGUAUAUGCUAAGCCUUUUUGCUUGGCAAGUUCAGUCUCAUUUCACUCUGUUUCCCUGCCAUCGGUGGAUGUUCUGCUUGUUAGUUUCGACUCAUCUGUGUAAGACAUGAUUCUUGAAUUGUUGGCAAGCAACUAGAUGCGCAUCUUCUUUGACGGCAUUUUUGGCAGCUGAGCACAUGUUGGAAAGGUUUGGAGGGGGAAUCUGUCUUUGCAGUUUUCCAACAAAACUUUCAAGGUGUGCCCAGUAUUGUAGCCACAUGUUUCCAUGGUCAUUUCACCAUUGUAUUCUCUCUGCUGUUCAGUUGCUCUGGAAUUGCUCUGUGCCUGGAGGCAUUAUUAAAAUAUUACAAUGAA
This is a long non-coding RNA of Varanus komodoensis (Komodo dragon), 782 nucleotides long. RefSeq lists it as uncharacterized. Lineage: Eukaryota; Metazoa; Chordata; Lepidosauria; Squamata; Varanidae. The record is from RefSeq and is a predicted model, not a curated record. The transcript has 2 exons.